UAGUCUGUGAAAGCAGUUUGCAAUUUGA
This 28-nucleotide non-coding RNA is filed under the name Mus musculus (house mouse). Lineage: Eukaryota; Metazoa; Chordata; Mammalia; Rodentia; Muridae. The record is from RNAcentral.